This is a long non-coding RNA of Leopardus geoffroyi (Geoffroy's cat), 910 nucleotides long. RefSeq lists it as uncharacterized. The transcript has 2 exons. The record is from RefSeq and is a predicted model, not a curated record. NCBI's taxonomy places the organism in Eukaryota, Metazoa, Chordata, Mammalia, Carnivora, Felidae.
UGUAUUUUUUAGAAGGUUUAACUUUAAUUUUAUUUAGCCUAAGAAGGGCAUGUCACUCAAACUCCGCUGGUCAUUUAUAAAAAUAUUUCAAUUGUGUUUCCAAGGAGCUGUCUUUCUGGCCUAAGUGGCUGGUGCCGGAGGUUGUGAAUGCUAAUGCAGAGGUCGGGAGAUCGAUGGGGAGGGAGAGCAGGAGAGAAAAAACUGGGAGGGGCAGAGACGCCCAGAAAGAGACACCGAAGACGCAAAGAAGAAAGGACAAGCAGGGAGACAAAGAAAGAAAGAGUGUGGAGUGGGACAAGGACCACCGACUCAAAAGAAGCAGGUCAGGAAAGGAAAAGGCAGAAAGACAAGCAAACUCCCAGGGUCGUGUGUUGGGAGACAGGCCAGCAUAUGGACCUUAGACAGGCGCCCCCACCUCCUUCUCCUCCGGCCCCUCUGCGGACACCCAGAAGUGACAGCCAUCGCCUCGCUGAGUUCAUCCCAGCCAAGGACAAAUGGAUUUCACAGUUUAUCAAGGGAGGAAGGGGCGUGUCACAGACUCAUCAACCGUGACCCACCUUUGGUCCCUGCUUUCCUGCCUGGUCUCAGCCACAGCUCCCUGGCCAGAGCUUCCUCACUGGGCUGGCUCCCAGGCCCUGCCUCCGGGGAUCAGCAAGGCUGAGAGAGAUGUCACCCUCGAUCUUCUGUGCUGUUCGGUGCCUGCCAGAGCCUCUGCCCCACCUGGCCAUGAGACCCUGCCUCUUAUCUGGGGCUCUCCACUCCGCAGGCAAGACAAAACCCCAGGACGCGGCGGAUGAAAUAAUACAUGCUCCCUCUCUAGAUUUCGCUCUCUGCUAUUAACUUUUUCUGCUCCUCUACCUCCUCCAGCCUCAUUUGAGACAAUAAUAAACGCUCCUCACCCUCACCGCCA